Molecule: long non-coding RNA, 1033 nt
Organism: Eucalyptus grandis
Lineage: Eukaryota; Viridiplantae; Streptophyta; Magnoliopsida; Myrtales; Myrtaceae
Exons: 2
Source: RefSeq, a predicted model, not a curated record
CUCUCUCUCUCAUCUUUCCCCCCCAGGGCAGUCAAGCUUAUCGAGCUAGUUCUUGUGCUUGCGGUGAUGCUGCUGCUGCUUCAUGUGCACAAUGUUGCGGUUUUAGAGUAUGCCUAGGAUGCCUGUUGAAUCGCAGUGCUUUUCUUCGAAAUGAAAAUAACUGUAGGUUUAUAAUAUGCUCGAUCGCGUCGUUUUAUGUGCAGAUGCUGCAUGUUUCGCUUUCGUUAGCUGCGAUUUUGGCAGAAGAUUGCUUUUUGAGUUGAUUUGUAGAUAGGACUAGCCUCCUAGGCGGCGCACUCAUGCCGUCCAUCUGCGAGCGGGUGGUUAAUUAUGUCGUCUGCUUCGCGGCGAGACUGGUGUUGUGGUGGGAUUUCUGCACCUCAUGUUGGUAAACUUUUGCAUAUUUGCACUGCUGCGAAUCUUUGUGCAAAAUGGUCUAGCUUACAGCAUGUGUUUAAAUUCAAGAUUGAUUCAUUUCCACUUCAUUAAUUGUUGGAACUAAAUCUGACUCUGUGUUUUUACUCUUUGUUUUAUGCCACGCUUUUGCAAAUCUUCGGCGCGGGCUGUCCAUGGGCGUGGCUUGGAGUUGAUGUUCUCAACAUGUUUGGAGUUGAUGUUCUCAACCUCCAUCGCCGGCAAUGGGCGUGGCUUGAUGCUGCCAACUAUCCAAGGCUACAAACAUUCUCGUGCGUGGUUAGAACUUGAGGGACAACAAUACUUUAGUCUUAUCGAAUGAAGUGUUUGAGCUAGGAAUAUUCAAGAUUGGUGGGUCUUCCUCAAGCAACUACUACCUGGGCAUUUGGUUCAGGGAUGAUCCUUAAAAGAAACCAGUCUGGGUCGCAAAUCGAGAUUACCCGCUUCUUGAUUCUUCUUUUGUACUCUCCAUCAGGUAUAAUGGGAACUUGGUGAUAUCCGAUAGAAAGCAGAUUCCGUAUUUAGUCAAUGCCGAGAUGUUAUCUACUUGUAAUAGCACAAGUGUGAUAUUGCUGGAUUUUGGCAAUUUUGUUCUAAUAGAAGGCAAUAGCACGGUUUG